AUGUCCUUGGAUCACACAGAUCAAAGAAGAAACCCUGCCUCACACUGUCUCAUCUCCACAGAAUCCCUCUUCCAACCUUCCUAUCUUUUCUAUUUCCCAUUGAUAGAGGGAAACUUGUAGACUCUUCUCAUCAACAAAAGAUAAAAAAUUUAUUUGUUGGCCGGGCGCUGUGGCUCACGCCUGUAAUCCCAGCACUUUGGGAGCCCGAGGUGGGCAGGUCACGAGGUCAGGAGAUCGAGACCAUCCUGGCUAACACGGUGAAAUCCCAUCUCUACUAAAAAUACAAAAAAAAUUAGCCGGGCGUGGUGGCGGGUGCCUGUAGUCCCAGCUACUCUGGAGGCUGAGGCAGGAGAAUGGCGUGAACCCGGGAGGCGGAGCUUGCAGUGAGCUGAGAUUGUGCCACUGCGCUCCAGCCUGGGCAACAGAGAGAGACUCCAUCUCAAAAAAAAAAAAAAAAAAAAAAAAAGUAUUUCUUCAUAUAAUUCCAGACAGCAAAGGAGUCUCCAUAUUCUAUUCCUUAUUCCAUUUCUCAAAGUAUAAAUGCUUAAUUUUUUAAGCACACACACACAAAUAAUUAUUGCUGUUUUUGUCUUCACUGAAAUAUUUGUCAAGCUAUAGUCCAAGAAGCUAUGAAGGUCACCAGAUAUCUUUCAGGGGGUCCAUAAAGUCUUAAUUUUCAUCCAGACCACCUUCAGCCCACUUCUACUGACCACAAGCUUUUGGAUCCUGCCCUGGGUCUCUGAGCACAGCAGAAUACAGGAGAAUCCCUUUCUUCUGGAGACAUGAUGCCUUAUCUUCCCUCCCAAAGGACCAUCUCUGCUUCAAUUCCACUGCCAGCCACAUCCUUGCUACCACCCUCUUACUACUUCCUAUUCCAGCCAAACUGUAUUAGUUUUUAAUUUAUUUCACUCAGUUAUUCUUAUUACAGUUUAAAUAUAGAAAAUACAAAAUAUGGAUAUUUAUUUUAUUUCUUAUUAUACAAGCAUAUCCAUGUUAUCUUUGAUAUUGCUACUUGGUCCACACAGGUGGAUAAGGUACCAUAUUUACCAUCUGACCCUUUAUAGAAAAAGUUAGCUGACCCCUCGUCUAAACUAUGAAGACAGAAACAUCUGUUUUUUUCCUUAUUGUAGUCCCACAACAGGUGUAAAUGUGUCCUAAAUGAAUAUCAUUAAGUGAAUAAAUGAUGGAAAAAUUGU
Molecule: long non-coding RNA, 1196 nt
Filed under: Homo sapiens (human)
Lineage: Eukaryota; Metazoa; Chordata; Mammalia; Primates; Hominidae
Description: HSALNT0374499
Source: RNAcentral